AUGCUGGGAAGCUCACCUACAUAGACACAAAAUACGUGGUACAUGUGAAGAGUUAAAGAAUUUGACACCAAUUUUACAUAUGUGCAACAGUCAGAAUUCUACUUGGAGCCAAACAUUAAGUACGUAUUUCAAGUGAGAUGUCAAGAAACAGGCAAAAGGUACUGGCAGCCUUGGAGUUCACUGUUUUUUCAUAAAACACCUGAAACAGUCCCCAGGUCACAUCAAAAGCAUUCCAACAUGACACAUGGAAUUCUGGGCUAACAGUUGCUUCCAUCUCUACAGGGCACCUUACUUCUGAUUAAAAGAAGGAUCUUAUUGUUAAUACCAAAGUGGCUUUAUGAAGAUAUUCCUAAUAUGAAAAACAGCAAUGUUGUGAAAAUGCUACAGAAAAUAGUGAACUUAUGAAUAAUAAUUCCAGUGAGCAGGUCCUAUAUGUUGAUCCCAUGAUUACAGAGAUAAAAGAAAUCUUCAUCCCAGAACACAAGC
Molecule: long non-coding RNA, 486 nt
Filed under: Homo sapiens (human)
Lineage: Eukaryota; Metazoa; Chordata; Mammalia; Primates; Hominidae
Description: HSALNT0008432
Source: RNAcentral